GGAACAUAUACAGGAUGUGCUCCAAGUAAAGCUGUAAGCCCAGAAAAAGACACCAUGAGAUCCUGUUGCCUCCAGACAAUUAUUUAACCUUCCACAGUUUUAAAGAAAUUAAACUACAGUAUAGACAAUUAUUUUGCAAAGGAUCUUGGAAUAAGAAUUACAAACAAAAGAAGUGGGGAUCUCUAAAACGAGGACACGCAUUUUCACCUGAAGCUUUCCCUUGAAUAUCAUCACAUUCCAACUUCAGCUUUGCAGAUUAAAUAUAAGGGAUUUCCUCUACAUCAAUGCCUCCUGGACUAUUGACUAUAAUCUGCCUUAGCAGGAAGCCAAGUAUUUUAGAGAGCUAUAUUGUGUAUCUCUGAGACCAAAAAAGAAGAGCAGCUUCACCUAGGCCUCCUGCAAGUUCCACGAAAUGGCUAAACUGAUGUGGUUCUGUCUUUCCAAAUAAAGGAAUUAAUUUUCAAAAACUGACAAGAAUCUCUGGUAUUCCUGCAUUUGUCUGAGAAAAAGCUCUCCUGUCAUGUGCAGCUACACACCUGCCUCCGGAACCUGGGAGAAGUUAUACCUGUCAUUGCCAACCAUGAAGGCUUGAUGAGGGCUUAGGAGCUUUAUUUCUACAGAAAUAAUCCAUUCUCUGCCAUCUCAUCUGAAGUUCGGAGAAACAAGAAUUGCUUCUCUAUUUUCAAACCUUAUGUUUUCUUUUACAAAUAAAAAUACAUCAAAUUUAUUUAUUGAGUACCUACUAAAAUUACGGGAUCUAUGUCCUUAAGGAAAUCAUGCUGCUGUAGAAAUUCUGAUGUGUUAUACAAUGAUUUAGAAAUGUACUGUGG
This 830-nucleotide long non-coding RNA is filed under the name Homo sapiens (human). RNAcentral's name for it is "HSALNT0093409". The record is from RNAcentral. Lineage: Eukaryota; Metazoa; Chordata; Mammalia; Primates; Hominidae.